Molecule: ribosomal RNA, 490 nt
Filed under: uncultured bacterium
Lineage: Bacteria
Description: partial 16S ribosomal RNA
Rfam family: Bacterial small subunit ribosomal RNA
Source: RNAcentral
GAUGAACGCUAGCUACAGGCUUAACACAUGCAAGUCGAGGGGCAGCAUGGUCUUAGCUUGCUAAGGCCGAUGGCGACCGGCGCACGGGUGAGUAACACGUAUCCAACCUGCCGUCUACUCUUGGACAGCCUUCUGAAAGGAAGAUUAAUACAAGAUGGCAUCAUGAGUCCGCAUGUUCACAUGAUUAAAGGUAUUCCGGUAGACGAUGGGGAUGCGUUCCAUUAGAUAGUAGGCGGGGUAACGGCGCACCUAGUCUUCGAUGGAUAGGGGUUCUGAGAGGAAGGUCCCCCACAUUGUAACUGGGACACGGUCCAAACUCCUACGGGAGGCAGCAGUGCGGAAGAUUGGUCAAUGGGCGAGAGCCUGAACCAGCCAAGUAGCGUGAAGGACGACUGCCCUAUGGGUUGUAAACUUCUUUUAGAAAGGAAUUAAGUCGGGUAUGGAUGCCCGUUUGCAUGUACUUUAUGAAUAAGGAUCGGCUAACUCCGUG